Molecule: ribosomal RNA, 253 nt
Filed under: uncultured bacterium
Lineage: Bacteria
Description: partial 16S ribosomal RNA
Rfam family: Bacterial small subunit ribosomal RNA
Source: RNAcentral
UACGUAGGGUGCAAGCGUUGCCCGGAUUUAUUGGGCGUAAAGGGCGCGUAGGCGGCUCUGCACGUUCGUUGUGAAAUCGCCCGGCUCAACUGGGCGGGGUCAGCGGAUACGGCAGAGCUUGAGCAAGCUAGGGGGCAAUGGAAUUCCCGGUGUAGUGGUGGAAUGCGUAGAUAUCGGGAGGAACACCAGUGGCGAAGGCGGCGAUCUGGGCAGACACUGACGCUGAGGUGCGAAAGCGUGGGGAGCAAACAGG